Long non-coding RNA from Mastomys coucha (southern multimammate mouse), 1170 nucleotides. RefSeq lists it as uncharacterized. Lineage: Eukaryota; Metazoa; Chordata; Mammalia; Rodentia; Muridae. The record is from RefSeq and is a predicted model, not a curated record. The transcript has 4 exons.
UGCAUUGUGCCCAAUGACUCUUCAAUAGGGUUUCCUAAAAUGAUAGGACCUCCUAGGACUCUGCCUACUUUCUUCUUGCCCCCUGUCAUUCUCCUCCUUGAUCCUGCUUCCCUGCCAGCAGCUGGAGUCUUCGAUGCUUCAGCCGGCUUCUCCUCAACUCACACAGGCACUCUUGAUUUUCAUCUGCUGUCUAUGUACUGUUCCAAGGGAGCUGGCUCAUCACCCUGCUAACACCCCUGCCGAGCUCUGGAACUGGUGGUAACAGGAAUCAUUAGCCAGAGCUGCACACAGGAAGACUCCACAAACCCUUGAGACCAGAAAGCCCUGGUGUCUUCAGAUGCCAGAAGAGGGUAGCAGAAUCCCUGGAACUAGGGUUACAGUCAACUGUGACCUGUAGAUGUGAGAGCUGGGAUCCACACUCAAAGGCUCUCUGGAGGAGCAGCAAGAAUUCUUAUAUGCUGAGUCAUCUCUCCAACCCUAGAAAAGUGACCUUCUAAUAAGGACUUUUCAUAUGGAAUUCUUCAUCAUCUUCCUAAAGGUUCCUAGUGGGAGCACAUGCCUUGAAAAUGUGAUCUUUCUGCUGAUGAUAAAGAUGAGGGACCUCUUGACAAACUACAGCAACAAGAACCAGCAGCAGCAGAGGGAGCAGCUGCAGGGGGAGCAGCAGCAGCAGGGGGAGAAGCAGCCUCCACAGCCUCUUGGGGCUCUGGCAUUUUUUACCCUCCCAAGAGUCCUCAGAAUUCUAAACUAUCUUCAGCUGGCAGAACCACUCCCCUGCCAGAGCAUGAGACAAAUCAUAGUCAGCUGCUGUGGACAAUCUGAAGCAGCCCCAUAUCCCACAUCUGGGAUUAAAGCAAAACUAUAUCCCCAUAACAUACCUAGAUUUUUUUAAGAAACCAAAAUUUUUACCACAUGUUCGUGAUGAGCAGCUCAGUUCACUUUCAGAGUGACACUUGACACACUUAAGCAAACUUGCACUUCCACAUGGCUCCCAUCUGAUAAGCUUGGUUCCAAAAUGGCAAGGCGUUAUGAGCAGAAAGCAACUAUGUAACUAUGUCAGAGUCUCUCCAUAUAGUCUUCAUCUUCCAUUAGCUUAUUUUGACUCAAAGUCAGUAACUGUUGAAUACCUUGACACCAGAAGCUAUACAAAUACAAAUAUACAAAUACAAA